This 456-nucleotide ribosomal RNA is filed under the name uncultured bacterium. RNAcentral describes it as "bacterial SSU rRNA". It matches the Rfam family "Bacterial small subunit ribosomal RNA", at positions 8 to 507 of the family's 1533-position model. The record is from RNAcentral.
AGAGUUUGAUCAUGGCUCAGAGCGAACGCUUGGCGGCAGGCCUAACACAUGCAAGUCGAACGAACUCUUCGGAGUUAGUGGCGGACGGGUGAGUAACACGUGGGAACGUGCCUUUAGGUUCGGAAUAACUCAGGGAAACUUGUGCUAAUACCGAAUGUGCCCUUCGGGGGAAAGAUUUAUCGCCUUUAGAGCGGCCCGCGUCUGAUUAGCUAGUUGGUGAGGUAAAAGGGUUCACCAAGGCUACGAUCAGUAGCUGGUCUGAGAGGAUGACCAGCCACAUUGGGACUGAGACACGGCCCAAACUCCUACGGGAGGCAGCAGUGGGGAAUCUUGCGCAAUGGGCGAAAGCCUGACGCAGCCAUGCCGCGUGGAUGAUGAAGGUCUUAGGAUUGUAAAAUCCUUUCACCGGUGAAGAUAAUGACUGUAGCCGGAGAAGAAGCCCCGGCUAACUUCGUG